AAGAGACCGAACAAGAAGGCUGGGAAGUUGAAGACCCAUCAGUUCACUGGCGCGCGUUCAUGUGAGAAGGGACCUGUGUUCCAAAAUGUUUUUCAAGACACAGGAACCAUCCGGUUGGAAUAUUACUGAAGUUUCACGUUCUAAAGGCCCUAAAGAUUGAUGCUUUACAACGUUUGACAUGUUUGAACGAACGUAAAUAGAUUUUUUUUUAAACUUUUCUUUUUGGCGUGCUUCCAACAUUUGGAGUAGCUGAACUGAACGUGCGAACAACAAGGAGCUAUUUGGACAUAAAUUAUGGAGUUUAUCGAACAAAACAAGAUUUAUUGUGGACCUGGGAUCCCUGGAAGUGCCUUCUGAUGAAGAUUAUUAAAGACAUAUCAGUGUGGAUGACGGAUCACCACCUCAAGCUGAACCUCGGCAAGACGGAGCUGCUCUUCCUCCCGGGGAAGGACUGCCCGUUCCAUGAUCUCAACAUCACGGUUGACAACUCCAUUGUGUCCUCCUUCCAGAGUACUAAGAGCCUUGGCGUGACCCUGGACAACACCCUGUCGUUCUCCGCUAACAUCAAGGCGGUGACCCGAUCCACAACAUUCGCAGAGUAUGACCCUGCCUAACACAGGAAGCGGCGC
This 629-nucleotide long non-coding RNA is filed under the name Salmo salar (Atlantic salmon). Its description in RNAcentral is "lncRNA (ENSSSAG00000107435.1)". Lineage: Eukaryota; Metazoa; Chordata; Actinopteri; Salmoniformes; Salmonidae. The record is from RNAcentral.